CUGGUGCUCUUCUAGCAGCUCUGUCAAAUACUGACCACUAUCAACAUCUGGGGUUGUUCUUAUAAGUGGAGACAGAGUUCUUGCAGGUGAAAAAUUCUGUGUGUAUGAGCCAGACAUGAAUAUGGUCUUGAAAGAAACACACAGAGAGACAAAGGGAAGAAGAAGAAGGGUAGGCAAAGUCCUGCCCCCUAAACAGUGAAAAGGAAAAGAAAAAGAGAGGAAAAUUGAAAAAAAAGAAAAAAGUUGG
RNAcentral lists this unclassified non-coding RNA (247 nucleotides) under Hevea brasiliensis (rubber tree). The record is from RNAcentral. Lineage: Eukaryota; Viridiplantae; Streptophyta; Magnoliopsida; Malpighiales; Euphorbiaceae.